RNAcentral lists this ribosomal RNA (445 nucleotides) under uncultured Flavobacteriaceae bacterium. RNAcentral describes it as "bacterial SSU rRNA". It matches the Rfam family "Bacterial small subunit ribosomal RNA", at positions 32 to 478 of the family's 1533-position model. The record is from RNAcentral. Lineage: Bacteria; Pseudomonadati; Bacteroidota; Flavobacteriia; Flavobacteriales; Flavobacteriaceae.
AACGCUAGCGGCAGGCUUAACACAUGCAAGUCGAGGGGCAGCACGUCUUCGGAUGGUGGCGACCGGCGCACGGGUGCGUAACGCGUAUACAAUCUGCCUCUUACUGCGGAAUAGCCCAGAGAAAUUUGGAUUAAUACCGCAUAGUAUUAUUGAAUGGCAUCAUUUAAUAAUUAAAGAUUACGGUAAGAGAUGAGUAUGCGUUCUAUUAGCUAGAUGGUAAGGUAACGGCUUACCAUGGCAACGAUGGCUAGGGGUUCUGAGAGGAUUAUCCCCCACACUGGUACUGAGACACGGACCAGACUCCUACGGGAGGCAGCAGUAAGGAAUAUUGGUCAAUGGACGCAAGUCUGAACCAGCCAUGCCGCGUGCAGGAAGACGGCCUUAUGGGUUGUAAACUGCUUUUGUCAGGGAAUAAACCUACCUAUGUAUAGAUAGCUGAAGGUAC